RNAcentral lists this ribosomal RNA (157 nucleotides) under uncultured bacterium. RNAcentral's name for it is "partial 16S ribosomal RNA". It matches the Rfam family "Bacterial small subunit ribosomal RNA", at positions 355 to 509 of the family's 1533-position model. The record is from RNAcentral.
UGAGGAAUAUUGGUCAAUGGGCGAGAGCCUGAACCAGCCAAGUCGCGUGAGGGAAGACGGUCCUACGGAUUGUAAACCUCUUUUGUCGGGGAGCAAUAAAGCGUACGCGUACGCAGAUGCGAGUACCCGAAGAAAAAGCAUCGGCUAACUCCGUGCC